Molecule: long non-coding RNA, 41123 nt
Filed under: Sorghum bicolor (sorghum)
Lineage: Eukaryota; Viridiplantae; Streptophyta; Magnoliopsida; Poales; Poaceae
Description: long non-coding RNA (SBIC_LNC012493)
Source: RNAcentral
GACUUCGUGGUAAUAGAGACUGGUACUAAUGAGAGGGCACCCAUCAUCAUAGGGAGGCCAUUCCUGAACACCUCGGGAGCUGUCAUCUACGCUAGUGCUGCCAAAAUCAGUUUCUACAUCAAGGGGAGGAAGGAGACGUUUUCCUUCAAGAACAAGACUACACAAAUCUCAGAGCAAUCCCGACAUGAACCAAGGAAGAGGACCAACAGGAGGAACAGAAACAAGCAAAUGUGGACUGAGUCAGCUAAGAUGGUCACUGCAGCUCAAGAAGGUCAAGAUCGUCAACUCAAGUCGCCUUUCUUGAUCAAGAAGGACGACCCUGGUGUUCCAAGCAUCAAGUGCACAAUCAACGGAUAUUCUUUUCAGAAGACACUCUACGACACCGGAUCUGACGUCAACAUAAUGGCCACAGUCACUUAUCAGUUCCUGUAUGGAACCAUGCCCCUAAAACCGACAUACAUUCAGCUCCAGAUGGCAGAUCAGACAUUCCGAAAGGUUGAAGGUUAUUGACAUGGGAGAAGACGAGUACAAUCCACCCAUCAUACUUGGAAGACCAUUCUUCAGCACUGUUAAAGCAAUCAUCUACAUCGGAACCGGAGAAGUCCACAUGCACUUCCCCUCUGAGAAGGUACGCUGGUAUUUUACUAACCCUAAUCAUAUAGUUGAAGACUCUAAGCAGGUCAGGACAAGAGAAGACGAUGCAACCGCAACCAGAGGAGGCAAAUCAUCAAGGACGGAUGUGCCGACUACGAAGGAGAAGUAGUAAGGUCUGAAGACAUAUAGCUUGAAUAGAACUGUCCUAAGGAGACCGUAGCACCGAGUCAAGUGUGGAGAGAGAAGAUAGUUAUACAUGAAGAGGAGGCCCUGCCGGAACCACCGACUACGCCAUCCAGCGAAUCCCAGGACGAAUGAGAAAACGGAGAGUCCCGUUCGGAGGACUUAAAAACACUGAACGCCUUGCGAAGAGGUAAACUUGGUAGUUAUCUUUUUUCUUUCAAUUAUUUUAACAUAGUUUGCUUAGUUAAUCAGGUUCAUAUCAUCUCAAAAAAGAAAAUAAAAAUGUUAAAAAUAGUAAGCCCCAUGUGAGUAUGCUCAUGGCAUAAAACCCACAAGUACAUUCACUGUGGUGGCAUAAAAAUAAAAUAAAUAUAUUCUUGUCCUAUAAAAUUGAAAAUAUAAAAAUAUAUUUAUGAUCCUACUAAAGAGAGUAACAUUUAUUGAGGAGGCUCAACAUGAUAAAGGCUAGAUAUUUAUGCUAACACUUAACUAGUUCCAUAAAGCUUUGUUGUCUAUUUGAGCUCCACAGAAAUUAAGGAUCAAAGAAGACUAGCAGACGGAGGACAUCCUAAUCGCUGUCAGGGUGCUGCCAACAUUCAAAUAGACCUCCGUCACCUGCUACAUCAAAAGAAAUUACGUCAAAAUCCAUCUUGGGGGAGAGCACCCCCAUUUAUCCAGCUAAGUGUUCUACUCACGUUUAUAUUUUACUCAAAUAAUAAAAAGAUGCAUAAUCAUAAAAAACCAAAUAAAGAUUUUGUGCUUAUAUUUAUCUUUGCUUAGUUUGCUAAAUAAAUAAAUAAAUAAAAUUUGCUAUGAACCCUCAUGAUAAGCUCUCUUAUGGAAAUGAUGAAUAGUUGCUCUACCACGACUAGUUCUUAAAAUUGAAAUCUCUCUCAAGUUUAGGCAUGACUGUUAUUAAUUAAGAUUCGCUCUAAACCUGAACUUGUGGGAAGAGUACUUGAUCUAAAGUCUAAGUCGUUAACGGAUAUGAUAUGGGAAGGUUGAGCUGCUGUUUAUCUGUUCCUAGAGAUGCUAGAAUUCUGGAGAAUUUUAUCUUUGAAAAUCUUUAAAAUGUUGCAUGAUGAGUUCCUGUAUGAUGAGAGUUUAAAUUCCUACCACAGCCAUAUAUACAUGCUUGCUAGACUAUGAACCACACAUUUACUUUACUACUUAUGAGCAUGGAGUGUGGUCAAGCUGUGUAGACCCUUAGGAGCUUGUCAUGCAGUUAAAUCAAGAUUCACUUGCACGUUCACUCACACAUGUUGCUUCUACUCCGGAAGUAUGCAUCCACAUAUAUCCACCCAUUUCCAUCUCCAGAACCACCCAAAAAUAUUAUACUCCUAAUCUGGGAGAGAAUAGCCAAAAACAUUUCUGUUUUCCCCUGUGAAAUAAAUGCUCAAGUUAUCUUGGUUACUUCCACUUGCUACAUUAUUUCAAGAGAUGAGUGCUCUAAAAAAAAGAAGAAAAAAAAAUACGAGGAAAUAAAAAGGGGCAAGUGCCCGGAACCUCGAAAGAAAAGAAAAAAGUGAGACGAGAGGUAAAAAUGGACAAGUGUCCGACAGUAGAAUUAGGGGUACAAGAUACCCACCUGAGAGAAAAGAAAAAAAAGGAAAAUAUAGAGCAUCUCAUUCCCCUCAAAAAGCUUCAAUGUGCAAGAAAGGUAUGUAACCCCUCAAAAGAGCAAACGUAGAAUUAGACUUUCACCAUUGUUAUCACCAUCGUCACCAUUGUUAUCACCAUUCAUUUGCCACACAUGCACAUCUUGAUUUGACUUAUUGACUUGUUCUUCUGGAUCCAUGGUUUGACUAUGCAAUAAAUGUCUUGUAAGUAUGUAUUAGCUGUCUCCCACCUAUGAGCUCCAGAUAUCAAAACCUUAUUAGAGUAGGGUGAGAGAGAAGGCAAUGCCACUAUGCCUCAUACCAAAAAUACUACAUACUUUGAGAGAAGGCAUAUACCAUUACUGCCUUGGUAAGGAUCCAGAAAUACCACAAAAGAGAGACUAGAGAGAGUCAUACAAGGAAUCUCUGAGUUUUAUUUGAAAAUCUGCAAAAACUCCAGAGCUAUAGUUAAUCGAAGAACAAGAGACAUGGCACUUGACUAGACCGUUCUAUCUUUUAACUACUCAAGACAGAAGUGAUGGUUACAAGUCCCAUGGUGAAAGGUAAUAUGAGUAAGUUUAAAUCCAAACAGUUUACCCUAACCUAGAGAUGAGAUCUUGUUUGAAUGCAUGUGUAUCUUUAAGGCAUGAAACCACUGCAGAAACUCUUGAGUCCAUCUUUGCUCAGGGACGAGCAAAGGUUAAGCUUGGGGGAGCUUGUUGACGGUCAUUAAUGCUCACAUUUAACCGUCAACCAAUCAUGGAAAAGGAUCUAAAUGGAACCAAUACCUAGACAUAGGGUUUUGUCUGACAGAAUUUCUGCAGGGGGUUAUCAGGAAAUACGGAAGAAAGGCCCACACGUCGGGUUUACAUAGAGAUAUUAACAUGCCGCACAAUUUUCUAUCAUCUAGAAGACUCCAGAAGCCACGGACCGAAGCGGAGGCCGAGAGGACUUAGGGACAGGGGGCCCGCCCUCCUCUCCUGGGCGCCCGCCCUCAUACAGAGUCCAAUCAGGACUCUCUUUCGGGAUAUUGCUCCACCGACCUAAAGGAUCAAGGAUAAUCGUUCAAUCAAUGUUGGUUUGAUCCAACGGCCCAGACUCACUUGAAGGGACUAUAAAACCAGACCCCCUGGCCCCUGGAGAUCAUACCUCUUCUACAGAAUCAAAGCUAGGGUUUCAAUUCUUCAUCCAAGUAGAGAGGAUCCCUCUAGUUCUUCUAAUUCUACCUCUAGUUCAUGUAGAUCUAGUUCUAGUUCAUCUAGUUCCUCUAGUUCUAGUUCUAGUUAGUUCUAGUUGUAAUCUAGAAAAUAAGGAGAGAGAAGAGGAGAGCGGAGGAGGAGCCGGAUCUGUCGGAUCUUCCUCAACAUUAUACUUUUGCAGCAUCUGGUUCGUUCUUCAUCGUUCUCCAGGUUCUUCAAUUCAUAAUUCCUGAGUUGUUUAAUUACUUUUAUUUACAUUCAAGUUAUUUAUUGGAUUCUCGCUUGCAUCAAGUGCUCUAGUCUUUAUAACUCUAGAGUAGUAAUUAAUAGAUUAGACGUGGUGUUUAGUCUUGCGAUUACCUGGAAUUGCACCCAAUCCUGCAGAUUGUUGUGGUAGACUUAGGGCAGUGACAGCCCUAACGGUCGACGUAUUCCACCACGUUCGGAUCAGAGUUUGUAGGACCGUAGUCAGAUCUUCCUAGCCCCCUUCUCAUCUCUUUCUGUGGUUAGUGCUCUGAUGUCCCGAUACAGAUAAUCUUGAAGUAAUUCUUGAUUCUUAGAUCAACUAGAGAACUCUCAGGAAACUUCCUCUCUUCCCACCAAAAAUAAUUAUAUAGUUAUCCUUGGGCGAUCUUGGAUCUUAAUUAGUACACUCACGUUCUCUGUGGAAAAUCGAUACUCUGGAAUACUCCCGAGUGAAAGCUACAUCGGUAUCCGUGCGCUUGUGGAUUUUUCUGUUUGCGUUUAAAAUACCCAACAGCACAGAAGACAUGCUUUAGAGCUUACAGGUCGGAGCUACGGUGCGUCGCCAUGAAGAACCUUCUCCUGGUCCUCCCAGCCGCCACUGCCGCUUCUGCCCCUCCAAGACUUAUCGGCUCGAUGUGCACGGCAGGCGGAUCACUGGUUAUCCGACCAGUGUCGAUCGGCACGACAUCAGGGUAGAUGCGCGUUCUCUGGACUAAGGAGGGUGCAGUCUCGUCCUCUUCGUCGCCGUCGUCGACGAUCCUCACGAGCCGGCACCGCUUCGGGGCUUGGCUGGUCUUCGCUGGCAUUGCUUCUGUGGGGGAUGGCUCUACGGCCAUUGGCCCUUUCCCAGACACCCUGUUGUCUGCUGCCGGUGCUCGGCAGGUCUGGUCCUCGUCGCUGCUGGUGUAUUGGAGACACCGAGCAGCAUUGUCUGCCGGUGGGUCCACCCAGCAGGAUGGUUCAUACCAGGUGCCAGUGACACAUGCACCGAGCACCGGUCAAUAUCUCCUAUCUACAAUACAAAAGUGACAAGUCAUCAGUCAAAAGGCUACUAUACUUACACAUAAAUACGGAUAAACAAGGGCAUUUCAUUUACCUUAGGAGCUGGUCGGCCUAACUUAAAGGCAUGCAUCCGGUCAUCACUGCGAACAAAGUUAUUAUCAGUUAGGUUGAAUAACUCGUUCAUCAACCGCUGGACCUCUCACUUUUCCAAACCGUCCCGGUGCAUCCUGGUCGGGUCUUGGCUUCCUACGUACUCGUACGCCGAGUGCACCCUCCUCUGGCAAGGCAUCACUCGUCGGAUGAGGAAGUUCCCGACCACCCCUGGCCCGUCCAAGCGGGACCAGUCGAUCAGGUCCAUCAACUCUGACACCUGACCGUUGUACUCGGGGUGAUCUAUCCAGCUGACCCUCUUCUCAGGAAUAUACCCGACAUCGCAAAAAGUGGCGCUGCCCGGCUCUUCCCAAAUGUAGAACCACCUCUUGUACCACUCGGUGAGAGAGGUGUUCCAUGGGCAACUAAGGUAACGGUUUUUCAUCCCGUCACGAAGAUUGAGGUAUACUCCACCUACAAUCUUGGAGCCUCCAACUACUCCUUUCUUCCUCAAACAGAACAAGUAGCGGAAGAGAUCAAAGUGCGGCUCUAUCCCGACAUAGGCCUCGCACAAAUGAAUAAAAGUGGAAACAAGAAGAAUGGAGUUCGGGUGCAGGUUGCAGAUCCCGAUCUCAUAGUACAAAAGAAGGCCUUGAAGGAAUGGAUGAACUAGAAUCCCAAACCCCCUCUUGAAAAAAUCUUCAAAAACUACAAUCUCACCAGCGCGAGGGUCGGGGUAACUUUCCCCUUCUGGUGCUCUCCAGCCGCUAAGCUCUUGAUUGUGCAGGAGUCCCAUCUUGACGAGGUCAUUGAGAGAUCUCGUGUUGCUCCGGGACUUCUUCCACUCCUUGGCCAUCAUCUCGGCCCUCUUCUUGGCGUCGCUCUUUGCCAUUUCCUUCUUGUGGAAAUCCUUGAGCUCGGAUGUGGGGGAUUGAAGGUGUUGAGGACGACGAAGGCUGGGCAAAAGUAUGUGGCUGCUGGGUACAGAACAAGGGUGCGACCUUGGGCUUUUUAUAACAACAGCUCCACCUCUACCACUUCCCGCAUUUUGGGGAAGUGGGCGGUCUUUUCGGCGGUUGUGGCGUUUCGGUUUUCAGGAGCUACCGCAGUAAAUUUGGUGGCCGUUUUUUAAUAAUUGCUAGUUUCCUUUCAUGAUACCCACAAUGAGUGGAUGUACAGUUAACAGGCUCACCUUUUUAUGCAACAGCCUGACAAUAUGGCAGGACGCUCUGUCACAUCACACAUUAAUACGGCGAUACAGUUUUUUCAAAAAGAAAAGUAGGACCUUUGGUCACACAAACAUGAUAUAAUUGGGGACUGUACCAACCACCGAGCAUGACAUGCUCGGGGACUGGUCGACCAGUCUGCACAUUUCGACAUCCUGGGGACUGUACCGAACACCGAGCAUGACAUGCUCGGGGACUGGUCGACUAGUCGGCCCAUUCGACAUCCUGGGGACUGUAUCGACCACCGAGCAUGACAUGCUCGGGGACUGGUCGACUAGUCUACCCAUUCGACAUCCUGGGGACUGUACCAACCACCGAGCAUGACAUGCUCUGGGACUGGUCGACUAGUCUGCCCAUUCGACAUCCUGGGGACUGUACCGACCACCGAGCAUGGUAUGCUCGGGGACUGGUCGACCAGUCUGCCCUCUCGACAACCUGUUGACUACUCCGACCACCGAGCACGUCAUACUCAGAGACUGGCCGAUUAUCUCAUCUUUCGAAAGUCUGGGGACUGUGCCAAACCUCGAGCAUGACACACUCAGGGACUGGUUAAUCGGUUCGCUCAGACACAAAUAAGUGCAACACGAUCUUGGCAUUGAAAAAUCAAAUUGUAUAACGGCUGCUCGGAUAAUUCUAAUUUUUUAGACCUUGCUACAAGGCUCAUGCUUUGCCUUCCAGCAAGCUCGGGGACUAUAUCGGUACGAUGCAUCUGGCGAUGCAUUUCAGUAUCAGGUUUUCUAUGUGGUUUUUCUCUUUAGAUCCUGGCACCACGUGCCUACGUCACCUACUACCAGGCUCGGGGACUAAGUGGGCACACUUCAGCUUGUGGUGAACAUGCUUGCUUUUUGAAAGUCUAUACUUUUCAGAAAAGUAAAGUGGGCACACUUCAUUCGGAAAGAAAUCUUUUUUGAUUAAGAGCACCGUGCAUUCUUCGAACAACAUGCUUCUUCGAUGUCGAUGAUGAUCAACUGUCUUUUGAGUUGGUCAAAAUACCGUUGCAACUGUUUGGGCGACUUUCCUACUUAUUGAAGACGUCAAGGCUCACUUGUCGAAGAAGCUCAAGAUGGCGUGUUGCAUCACAAUACACGGUGCUCGGGGACUAGCUGUGGGGGUAUAAACCCCUAUACCCUUACAGCUAGACUUGGGCCAGGAGACUUGGCCCAUUACGAGAUGAGUUUGAGGCUUGAUCCAACUACUCGGAGUUUUGCACAAGGAAACAAGACGUGGAGAUCAAGCCAGAUUCUAGUCGGUUAGAAUAGGAAUUGAUAUCCUACUAUCUAUGGCAAUUGUAACCGACUAGGAUUAGCUUCCAGAUUUGUAACCCUGCCCUCUAGACUAUAUAAGGAGAGGCAAGGGACCCCCUAGAGAAUUCCUCUCAACUCACACAAUCCAAUACAAUCAGACGCAGGACGUAGGUAUUACGCCAACACGGUGGCCGAACCUGGAUAAAAUCCUUGUCUGUGUCUUGCGUCACCAUCGAGUUCGUAGCUUGCACACCUGUCUGCCAAUAAACUACUACUGUGGGUGUGGGGGUAUAAACCCCUAUACCCUUACGGCUAGACUUGGGCCAGGAGACUUGGCCCAUUACGAAGACAGUCCGAGGUUUGAUCCAACUGCUUGGAGUUUCGUGCAAGGAAACAAGACGUGGAGAUCAAGCCGGAUUCUAGUCGGUUAGAAUAAGAAUUGAUAUCGUGCUAUCUGUGGCAAUUGUAACCGACUAGGAUUAGUUUCUAGAUUUGUAACCCUGCCCUCUGGACUAUAUAAGGAGAGGCAAGGGACCACCCUAGGGCACAUUAUUAUCUCAAAACAAAUCAAUACAAUCAGACGCAGGACGUAUGUACUACGCCCACACGGCGGCUUAACCUGGAUAAAAAGCUUGUUUGUGUCUUGCGUCACCAUCGAGUUUGUAGCUUGCGCACCGUCUACCGAUAAACUACUACCGUGGGUAUACCCCAAGGUAGACUGCCGACUAGCUUUCGUCGACAGUGGCACGCCAGGUAGGGGGUGUGCGUGCAGCUCUCUCAACGAACAAGAUGGUCAUCGUUCCAGCUUCCGCUGCCGUGCCUGAAGGCCUCACGUUCACUGUCGGCCAGAUCACGUGGACGACUCAUGGCGGCGGCCUCACGACCACGACUUCGGAAGAAACCCAGAUCCGAAAUGGGACGACAGGGGCGUCGAUUCCGAUCACGCCGGCACCGAGCACUCAACCUCCGCUCCCUCGUUAUAAGGGAAAAAAUGUCGACGACUCGGAUCUUUUCCGAGCCCUUGAUCAUGCCGAUCUCUGGCUUCUUGAAGCUUCACGACUGGUAGAUGGGAUCUCACGCCGAUUUGAUCAAGUCACGCCGACAGACUCUUUUGACUCUUGCCGGCCAACUCGUGUCAUCACACACGAACAGCUGGGGACGUCUCUGACAAUGACGUCCACCCCCACGGGGCGGUCCGUCGAGUUCAAGGCAGACCCAGACCAGAGUCCUCCCUACGGACUAAACAACUCGGCCGUUCACUACUCACGGCACAUCCAAUCCCUUUUCAACAGGGCGGGUUGGUCGCCGAGACAGAGCAGUCGACCAGCUCGCCAUUACGUCAAUAUGGUGUCAAUCCAAGUACUACCGAACGACCAGGCUUCCAGCACGAACUCCAGCACAGGGUCCAUCCCCACCGAGGUUAUAAACUCUGAGGACGAAGAUUACGACCUGGAUUUACCACCGUAUCCUCUAGGCUUUUCUCGCUUCCCAGUCUUUCCACCUCGGCGGGGAGAUUUUAUCUUCAAUGUCAGCAACGACGAACCGGUCGUCGAUGAAGAAACAGACGAGCAGAAGCAGCUCCGCGAACAGCGCAAUGCCGACCGUGCUCGGCGACGCGCGGAUGAGGAACGGCAAUUUGUGCCGCAUAUCCUCAGUGACGCUUUCGACAUGGUCGGAGAUCAGCAAGUCUAUAAAACGCCAAAUGCUAACGUGGCUGUUGCUAUGGCAAACCUGGACCGACUCCCUGAUACUCCUGAGUGCCAGGGCAUCCGAUCCAGUAUACGCGCACACCUGAUCACCGCGAUGGGACAGACAGCCACCUUACUCAAAAGGGUCUAAGCUAUCUCCUACACAGAGGUCUCUUCCGACCAGACUCAUCGCAGCCGGACAUCACCACAACCCAGCGAGCGCCACCGUAGCCGCUCCCCCAAUAAUCGCAGGAAGGAUGCGGGGCGUGACAACCGUGGUUGGGACACCGGUGGCUACCGCGACCAGAAGCAUGGGCGUGGUCAGGAAGUAAGCCAGGACAGGGAUCUAUGAUACAACAUCCCUCCCAAGGACGCCCGGGACCGUAUCAACAGGCGCGCCACGGAAAGAGCGGUGCACGAAAACCUGUGGCGCAUUGAGUACGAUGCCGCGCAUGGCCCCCCCGGCCUAAGACAGUUUUCUUCACACCUUCGCCAAGUCGUAUGGCCCCGCAACUUCGAACUCGAGAAGCUUAAAAAAUACGACGGCAAAGAAAACCUAGAAAAUUGGAUCACUCUCUACGAGAUUGCAGUCCGGUCAGCAGCAGGAGAUGAGCACGUCAUGGCUAACUACUUCCCAGUUGUCCUCGACCAGGCUGGUCAUCAGUGGCUCCUUGGCCUGCCCGAGGACUCUUUUGACUCUUGGGAAGAACUGCGCCAGGCGUUUAUCGAUAAUUUCAUCGCAACCUACGAGCAACAUAGGAACAAGUACGACCUCGAGAGAAUAAGGGACAGGAAAAACGAACCUCUGCGCGAUUACAUCCGACGAUUCUCGGAUAUGCGUCUUAAAAUUCCAAAAAUUUCUCACGACGAGGCCAUAUCGGCUUUCAUCAAAGGGCUAUGCUUCCACGAAGCAUUGAGGAACAAGCUACUGCGCAAAAGCCCGACCACGAUGGCCGAGCUCCUUGCCACGGCAAAAAAACUAUGCUACCGCCGAUGACGCAGAAAAGCUCAUCUGAGAGGAUGCGAGAGGUCCCGACUAGCCUCCUCGACGGGACGACAGUCGUGGUUGUUUUGGCAACAGGAACCAUCGUCGCCCUGACAACCGCGACCAUAGAGAAGGUUGGGAUAGGCGGUGUGACAAUCGCGAUGACUUUAGGGGCAAGCGCCCUCGCGACCACGACCACGAGGUGAAUACGGUCAAGCGCCCCAAUGGGCGGUGAGACUACCAGAAAGAUUACAACAAGACGUUGAAGGGACCGUGCCAACUCCACCCCAAGUCCAAUCACACGAUGGAAGAAUGUCGUGUCCUCAAAAGCAUCUACACGCAGCGGGCUGCUUAAGACGAUUCUGCCAAGAAAAACGGGAAGCAGGUCGGACGUGGUCACGAAGACGAAGACGACGACCAGGAUAGGGACCCACGACACUAGUAUGUCAGUCCCACCAAUGUGGUCCACUCCAUCUUCGGAGGCAAAGUUUCCAUCGAGUCUAAGCGAGAAAGAAAGCUCCUGAAGAGAGCCUGCCUCAACAUGGACAGCACAGACGGUCUGAUCGCCGAUCCAAAAUUUCCUCCCUGGUCGCACAGGGAGAUCUCCUUCAGCAGGAAGGAUCAAUGGGCCGCCAUCCCGGAGCCAGGACGUUUCCCUCUAAUCCUGGAUCCUUGCAUCAACAGCGUCAGAUUCGAGCGCGUGCUCGUUGACAGGGGAUGCUCCAUCAACAUCCUCUUUCGCAACAGCUUGCCUGCUCUCAAGAUAACCCCGGCACAACUAAAGCCGUAUGACGCUCAAUUCUGGGGACUUCUGCUAGGUCAAAGUUCAGUACCCCUCGGACAGAUAACAUUGCCUGUCCAAUUUGGAACACCUGACCACUUUCAAACAGAAUUUGACAACUUUAUGGUCGCCGACUUUGACGGCACUUACCAUGCAAUUCUAGGCCGACCAUCGCUGACAAAGUUCAUGGCAGUUCCACACUAUUCAUACCUGGUCCUCAAAAUGCCAACAGAGAAGGGCGUCCUAACUGUCAGAGGCAAUGUCUAUACCGCAUACACUUGCGAGGAGGAAAGCUUCAAGAUCACCGAGGCAAUUGACCUCUCAAUCCGCAUGGCAGAAACCGUAGCCCAAGCCACGCAGCUUCCACCUGACUAGCUUCGACUACCCGAGCAGGAGACUCCGAGGAAAAAUUCAAAGUCCAAAGAGCACAAGGAGGUACAGUUGGUCGAUGGCAGCCCCGAGAAGACGGCGCUCAUCGGGGCCAACCUGGACCCUAAAUAGGAAGACGCGCUCGUCAGGUUUCUAAGGGACAACGUGAGCGUUUUCGCAUGGAAACCCGUAGACAUGCUCGGCGUCCCACGAAACCUGAUCGAGCACUCCUUAAACAUCUCGAAGUCCGCAAGACCCAUCAAGCAAAAGCUACGACGGUUCGCUCGUGACAAAAAGGAGGCUAUUAGGACAGAAAUAACGCGGCUUCUAGCAGCCGGAUUCAUUAAAGAAGUGUAUCAUCCCGAUUGGCUUGCCAAUCCGGUUCUUGUAAGAAAAAAGAACAAUGAAUGGAGAAUGUGCGUUGAUUACACUGAUCUCAAUAAACACUGUCCUAAAGAUCCUUUUGGUCUCCCUCGCAUCGACGAGGUGGUCGACUCAACGGCCGGAUGCAAACUCCUCUCCUUUCUAGAUUGCUACUCUGGUUAUCACCAGAUCUCAAUAAAGGAAGACGACCAGAUCAAAACAUCUUUUAUCACUCCUUUCGGUGCGUAUUGCUACAUGAUCAUGUCCUUCAGACUCAAAAAUGCUAGAGCCACUUAUCAACAGGCUAUUCAGCAAUGCGUCCACGACGAGAUUCGUGAUAACCUCGUCGAGGCUUAUGUAGACGACGUCGUUGUCAAAACAAGGGACACGAGCACUCUAAUUGACAACCUAGACCGAACCUUUAAGGCACUAAAUAAAUACAAGAGGAAGCUUAACCCCAAAAAGUGUAUCUUUGGGGUCCCCUCUGGUCUACUACUCGGCAACGUCGUCAGCCGCGACGGCAUACGACCGAAUCCCUCAAAAGUAAAAGCAGUGCUCGACAUGCGACCACCAAAGAAUGUCAUGGAUAUUCAAAAGCUCACCAGAUGUAUGGCUGCUCUCAGCCGUUUUAUCUCUAGACCGGGAGAAAAAGGCCUCCCCUUCUUCAAACUCCUAAAGGCGUCGAAAAAAUUCUCCUAGACAGAGGAAGCCAACACUGCUUUCACCCAGCUCAAACCUUUCCUCACCUCACCACCUGUACUCACAGCACCUCAACCCAACGAGGACCUGCUCCUUUACAUAGCGGCAAUCGAUAGGGUUGUCUCCACGGCAAUGGUGGUCGAGCGGGAUGAGCCAGGCCACGUAUACAAAGUCCAGAGACCCGUUUACUUCAUAAGCAAAGUCCUAAAUGAGUCCAAGACCAAGUACCCUCAGAUACAAAAGCUCAUCUAUGCCAUCUUAAUAACUUCAAGGAAGCUGAAGCAUUACUUCGAUGGUCAUCGGGUCUUGGUAACCACUAGUUUCCCCCUGGGGGACAUUUUGCGCAACAAGGACGCCAACGGCAGAAUUGUAAAAUGCGCAAUGGAAUUAUACCCAUUCUCCCUGGAUUUCCAGAGCCGCACUACCGUCAAGUCCCUGGCCCUGGUCGAUUUCAUCGCAGAAUGGACGGACCUCAACGAACCUCCCCUCUCGGACACUUCCGACCACUGGUCAAUGUUCUUCGACGGGUCCUUAAACAUCAAUGGCGCCGGCGCCGGAAUACUCUUCGUGACACCUAACAAGGACAAACUACGCUAUGUCAUUAGGAUCCUCUUUCCGGCGUCGAACAACGUCACUGAAUAUGAAGCAUGCCUACAUGGCAUACGACUGGCUGUCGAAUUGGGAGUCAAACGCCUUUACGUCCAUGGCGACUCUGCCUUGGUCAUCAACCAGCUUAACAAAGAAUGGGACACAACCCACGAAAAGAUGGACCUCUACUGUAAAGAAAUUCGCAAAUGGGAAUCCAAUUUCUACGGCAUAGAAUACAUCCACGUGGUCCGAGAUAGGAACCAGGCAGCGGAUGCGUUGUCAAAGUUAGGAUCAUCUCGGGCCCAGAUUCCACAAGGCAUUUUUGUCCAUGACAUCCACGCACCAAGUGUGGGUACAGACCUGGUCGAAAAGCAACCCAAUGAGGCAAUGCUCAUAGGCGACACCACUCCGGCAACCAGCAACCGUGAUUGGCGCGCCCCCUUCAUCAGGUAUAUAUCGGAUGGAUCGGGUUUACAAGAUAACACGGAAAACGAGCGCCUCAUUCGACGGUCCAAGUAUUACAUACUGGUUAAUGGCAAACUUAUGUGAAAGAACGCAAGUUCCAAAGUGUUGCUCAAAUGCAUAUCCCAAGAUGACGGCGUCAAGCUCUUAGAUGACAUACACGCCGGGUCCUGCGGCAACCACGUGGCCUCCAGAACACUGGUCGGGAAGGCCUUCCGAGCAGGUUUUUACUGGCCAACUGCGGUCGCCGACGCCGAGAAACUGGUCCGACAUUGUGAAGGACGCCAGUUCUUUGCCAAGAGGACCCACGUGCCUGCUCACAAAAUUCAAACUAUUCCGUCGUCCUGGCCUUUUGCCUGCUGGGGUCUCGACAUGAUCGGGCCAUUUAAGCCGGCCCCCGGCAACUUCAAGUUUGUCUUCGUACUAAUCGACAAAUUCUCGAAGUGGAUCGAGUACAUGCCACUUGUCAAAGCAACCUCCGAGAAGGUUGUGGAGUUCCUCAAUCAAAUCAUACACAGAUUCCGGAUCCCCAAUAGCAUAAUCACUGACCUAGGCACUCAGUUCACUGACACUACAUUCUGGGAUUUCUGUGAUGACAGGGGCAUAGUCAUAAAGUAUGUGUCAGUAGCUCACCCACGGGCCAACGGUCAAGUAGAGCGAGCGAAUGGAAUGAUUAUCGAUGCUCUAAAGAAAAGGUUGUACACCGAGAACGACAGAGCACUAGGGCGAUGGAUGAAAGAGUUACCGGCUGUGGUCUGGGGUCUCCGAACACAGUCUAGUCGCAAACGGGUGUAUCACCCUACUUCAUGGUUUACGGCACCGAAGUAGUGCUUCCGUUCGACGUAACCUUUGGAUCUCCAAGAGUCAAAAAUUUCGACUAGUCUUCGGCCGACAUCGCCAGGGAGCUUGAAAUCAACUACAUGGAACAAAAAGCGCCUAAUCUCAUGCCUUCGAACAGCAAAGUAUCUCGAAGCCAUUAGGCGGUAUCACAACAGGAACGUCAAACACCGCUCCUUCGUGGUCGGUGAUCUGGUACUCAAGUGUAAAACAAGCCAAGAAGGAACGCACAAGUUAUCCACACCUUGGGAAGGACCCUUUGUGGUCGCCGAAGUCACACGCCCUACAUCUUACAGACUGGCAUACCCAGACAGAACACGCCUGCCUAAUUCUUGGCACAUAGACAAACUGCGCCGUUUCUAUCCAUAAGUUCCAGUACUUUUCGUUUGUAAAUUUCUUAUGAUUAGCAAUAAUAAAAUCUUUUCUUUUUCGCUAUAUACCUUUUUACACGCAGAACUUUCGACAAGUGCAACAAUCUCCUUCUAGGACCAAGAUCCUUAAGGAUUAUUAACCCGACUCAGUGGUACAUCACUCAGACAACGUUGCAGCGCUCAAAACAAUAGUUAUGACAGAUCAAUGUUUAUUACAAACUUUAUAUCAAAGUUAACAAUAAACACCCAUCUGGGCGGUCCCUAGUCUAUUCCUACAAACUACUCUACAGGCCUACUACUCGGGCUGAUCACCCGCAUGGCCCUACCGUCCAGUCGAAGGGGUCGGGGCCACUGGCGCCUGGCUGGUCAAGACCGCAGGUGUUGACCACCCAUCUCCGGCAAUGGAUGCUCCCGACAACUCCCUGGCCGACCUAUCUGACCCGGGCUGGUCGGGGGGAGUUGCUGUCCCGCAGAGGUUGAUGUCGCCGAUCACUGUCGACGACAGAUCAAGCAGACCAACACGAAGGUCGUCUGCCUCCUGCGGACCAACCUCCUUGGGGUACCCCCUCUCUAGUCGGGACAGGUCGACCAGAGGAUAGUUGGCGCGCACCAUGCUGAGGACGUGCGCACCGGCAAAUUCCCCGGCGUCCUUGACAAACUGCUGGAGCCAGUCCCACGCCCGUUGCGCCUUCUCGACCGGAGUCAGCUUCGGUGUGCGGGGCUGGUCUUCAGGGACCUCGGGGCUGAUCAAAUCAAGAACUGGGGCAACUCCUUUCCAAAGCUUGAUGCAGUUGGCCUUCCAGGAGUCCCGGUCCUUGAUUAGCUCGUCGAGGUGCUUCUUGGUAUUUACUUUGAGCACUGUGAACCAAGCAGGAAGUCAGUGCACACACAAGACAAGGAACAUUGAGCAAUCAAAGAAGAGGGUAACACGGUUCUUACCAGUCAACUCCCGACUCUUGUUGCUUAACUCCUCACCAGUUCGGCGCCCCGCCUCCAGCGCGCCGGCACGCUCUUGGUCGAGCCUCUCCUUUUCUUGUCAGAGGCGCGCUACCUCCUCCUCCAAGUCUGCAGGAGCAAUUUCUGGUCAACAAAAACGACUAUGUGGUUAUAUACAGCUGCUCGGAAUACAUGACUGACCUUUUCUUUCCCGAUCCUUGUCGGCCAACCGCCGAUUGAGAUCGAGCAGGCGCUCUUCCUGAGCACCCAUCUCGGCCGUCUUCUCCUCGGCCUCCGACCGAAGACGGUCUACCUCCGCGGACAGGGCCUUGUUCUCGGCCACGAUCCCCUCAAUCUGGUCGAAGCACCUUUUCCGGUACUUCACCAUUUUCAUUGCGCCCUAUAGGAAUCACACAUUAAAGUAAGCAACAGUGCAUAUACAUCUCGGGCAGAGUGCAAGACCACUUACCUUAACCUCGUCAACAAGACGCUUGGCUGCGCGCUCCACCCUCGCGGCCUCCUCCGUCUCCGCGAGUUCUUCAUGACCACUGAAAUGGUCCCCACGUUGGCGCCACACGUAAACGUGUUGGCGACCAUCAUGGGGACGGCCUUGGAUUUCUUCUACUUCGUCGUCGGAGGCCGCUCGAGUCUCUUCGCCCUCCGCGCUACCCCGAGCCGCGGUCACAGGUAUUACCGGACCCUGAUCUCGGCUAGGGGAGCCCUUUGGUGAAGAGGCCUCUACUCGGGGUGGAGUCGGGACCCUCCUCCUUUUAGAAGGCUGGGUAGUCGGAGCUCUGUUGUCCUCCUCCGCGACACUCCUCGGGGGAGGCAUCCUCGUAGUCUCAUCACCCCUUACAUGGGUGCUCGCUCGGGUCCUCGCCGGAGCCGGGAGCUCCUCGGCACUUUCAGCCGCGGUCACCACCACGGGCUGCUCCUCGGGUUGCUCCUGGGCGGCCUGCUGCGCUGCGUCCUCGACAACAGCCGUCGGCUCGGCUGUCCUCUUUCCAGCGACGUUGUCGGGAUCAACGUCAGACGCCGCACUAACAGAAAUAUGGAAUUUUACCAAUGUCAAAUGCUGUAGUAACAAACGCAAAAACAAUAAUAAUGAUAGGAGAAUGUGUCAAGACGAGAUUGUUCUACUUACAGAUCGGAGCGCCUAUGCGUCGCUGUAAAGACCCUCCUCCUGGUCCUACCGGCCGCCGCCGCUGCCUCUGUCGCCCCAAGAUGCGCUAGCUCAGUGUGAGGGGCAGGGGGGUCACUAGUCGCCCGAUCGCUAGUGAUUGGCGCGACGUCCGGAUGACUGCGCGACCUUCGGACCAAAGAGGGCGCGGCCUCCUCUUCCUCUUCAUCGUCGUCGGCGAUCCUGACGAGCCGACAACGCUUUGGAGCUUGGCUGCUCUCUCCGGGCAGCGCCUCUGGAGGGGACGGAUCCACCGCCAGUUGCCUUUUCCCCGCUACACUGUCCUCGGUGGUCGGGGCGGGGUGGUUCUGCUCCUCCUCACUGCUGGUGUAUUGAGGACACGAGCAGCGUCGCCCUCUGGCGGGUCCAUCCCUGCAGGAUUUUCCAUCCCAGGUGCCAGUGACACAUACACUGCGCACCGGUCAACGUCUCCAAUCUGCGAUUGAACCAACGACAAGUCAUCAACUAGUAGUCAACAGUAUUCAUAUAACAAUACUAGUCAAUAACAAAAUUUAUUUACCUUAGGAGCUGGUCGUCCUAGAUUGAAGGCAUGCAUCCGAUCACUGCUUCGAACGAAGUUGUCAUCUGUUAAGUUGAACAGCUCGUUCAUCAGUUGCUGCACCUCCGCCUUCUCCAGACCAUCGGGGCUCAUCCUGGUCGGGUCCUGGCUGCCCGCAUACUCGUACGCCAAAUGUACCCUCCUUUGCCAGGGCAUCACAUGACGCACAAUGAAGUUCCCGACCAAUCCUGGCCCGUCUAGGCGGGACCAGUCGAUCAGGCUCAUCAGGUCUCCUACUUGCCCAGCGAAUUCUGGGCGGUCUGUCCAACUAACCCUCUUCUCGGGGAUGUAGCCCAUGUCGCAGAACGUGGCGCUGCCCGGCUCCUCCCUAAUGUAGAACCACUUCUUGUACCAUUCGGUCAAAGAGGUGUUCCAUGGGCAGCUGAGAUACCGGUUCUUCAUCCCAUCACGUAGAUUGAGGUAUACUCCACCUGCAAUCUUGGAGCCUCCAACUGCCCCCUUCUUCCUCAGACAAAAAAGAUAACAAAAAAGGUCGAAGUUCGGCUCUAUUCCAACAUAAGCCUCGCACAAAUGAAUGAAGGUGGAGAUGAGAAGAAUAGAGUUCGGGUGCAGGUUCCAGAUCCCGAUCUCAUAGUAAAGAAGAAGGCCCUGGAGGAAAGGGUGGACAGGAAUCCCAGAGCCCCUCUUGAAAUAAUCUUCAAAAACUACAAUCUCACCAACACGGGGGUCGGGGUAGCUUUCCCCUUCCGGCGCCCUCCAGCCGUCGAGCUCUUGGUUGUGAAGUAGGCCCAUUCCGACGAGGUCGUUGAGGGACCUCGUGCUGCUCCGGGACUUCUUCCACUCCUUCACCAUCAGAUCGGCCCUUUUCUUCAAGUCACUCUUCGCCAUUCACGCUGUAGGAACGACUACGAGCUGGGCGAUUAAAGAUGGAGGUUGCAGAAGGCAGGAAUGGCAAGAACAGAAGGUUUGAAGGCAAAGGCAGGGUAAAGAUUACGAGCGUUGUGUUGAGCCUUUUAUAAUAAUAGCUCCACCCCUUCCACUUCCUGCAUUCUAGGGAAGUGGGCGGGCCCUGCGGCGGAUGCGGCGUUUCGGUUUUCAAUAAUUACCGGCAGUUAAUACGGUGGCUUUUCUAUAUAAUUGGUGGUUUCCCUUUCUUGAACCACGCAAAGAGCGGCUGCACAGUUACCCGGCGCACCUUUUCACGCAACCGUCUGACAAUACGUCAGGGUGCCUUGUCACAUCACGAAUUAAUGCGGCGAGAUGCUUUUUCAAGAGACAAGUAUAUUCGGUGGAAAAUUGUGUAUGACAGUCCUGGGGAUUGUGAAAGGAUCAAGAUGCCCAAGAGGGGGGGGUGAAUUGGGCUUCUCUAAAAAUUUAAGCAACCUAUAAGCUCCAAUUUCACCCCUUGUGCCUAGUGUGACCUAGAGAACUACCGGAUAGAAGUUUUGCAACCUAGUUCCAAUCCUAUUCUAGCAAGGCAAUUCUAAGAAUGUAAAAACACAAAGUAAAUGCUAGAAUGUAAAGGAGUAGUGGAAGUGCUCGGCGAUGUUUUGCCGAGGUAUCGGAGAGUCACCACUCUCCACUAGUCCUCAUUGGAGCACCCGCGCAAGGGUCUUGCUCCCCCUUGAUCCGCGCAAGAACCAAGUGCUCUCUAUGGGCUGAUUCUUUGACACUCCGUCGCGGUGAAUCACCCAAAACCGCUCACAAGCUUGACACGAGCCACCCACAAGAACUCCGGGCGGUCUUCGUGUCUCCAAUCACCACCGAACCGUCUAGGUGAUGGCGAUCACCAAGAGUAUACCAUCAUCAUUGGCCACAAUCACCUGAGGUCCCACCUCUGGAUACACGGGUACAGGGCGAGGAAUAGGGUGUAGCAAGUUAUUGAGACGGUGAAUCUCCACAAGACCAGCCUCAAUCUGAUCCUGCAGAUAGUUCUCACGCUCAAGCGACUGAAUCCGGUGCAUCUCCCAUGCACGGCGCCUGUUCUCCGACACACGGAGCGCAGUAUCCCUCUCACGAGUGACCUACACCAAGCGCUCCUGCAUGGUCUCCCCCUCUCUAGCUAACUGACUCAUCUGAUCCUGCUUAUGAUCUCUCUCUCUAAUGGCCUUCACCCACUGCUGCCUACGAUACUCCGCAAUGUCUUCCCAGUCAUUGCGGUCCUUCUGAGCUUGCUCCAGGAGUCUAGCUUGCUUGCGAAACUUGCGAGUAUGCUUUUCAGCCUUCUGUUGCAUCUCCUGAGCCUGGCGAACAGCCACCAUCACCUGUGCAUAAGUGUCCUUUCGCUGACUGAACAGCUUGAGCACAGCCAUCAUAGCACUCAAAGCAGGACUAGAACUCUCAGCUCGCUCUCCCUGCCUCGGACCAACGCACAACCAUCAACCUGCUUCCACUCCGCUGCUACUGGGUCAGCAUGGGGAAUGGAGGCUGCUGGCCCUCCUGUCAGCUCAUCACCAAACCUGUGACAGAUAUUGAGCAGCAUAGCUGGGCUGCAACCUGAGCUGCUUCCGAAGGAGUCUGCCCGUCAGAGUUGCAGGUCCAUCCUGUCCAUGCAGGCUUGCCCCCAUGUGGCGGAACAACUCCCUGCACAGCAAACCACUAAACACCUCCCGUCAUGUCCACCUCCCACCAGGAAUACUGAGAUGGCUCAGUAUACCCUACAGACUGUAGCACACUCCAGAGCAAAGUAGGGGUGCCAAACUCGCUCAAAAAGGUGUCACUGGGGCGAGGUGAAGCGGGCACGUCCAUCUGUGGAAAGGAAUAACCGUGGGUAUAAGAGGAUUAAUUUAAGCAACAAUUAUUUAAUUAAAAGGGGUGGCAUUGUAAGGGAAGGAGUAGACAGAAUAUAUGUAUGAAUGCGACAUGAUGCAUGCGCGAACCGCACGUCCUCACAAACUCAGAAAAUUAAUAUUCUAACGGAUAUACGGUGGCAUACAUUCGUCUCUCGAUACGAUAACUAUCGAUUUAUACACACGCUAUUAGAGUACCUACAGAAAACUUCAUUGCAGCCCAACAAUUCUCAAUAUAUCACUCAAGAAAGCAGUAAACUAAAUGCACAUUGCUUAUACAUGCCCAACAUGCACAAACAAUGACACCACAGCCAACCAAGAAAUUAAAUGCUCCCCAAUUAAGUUUCUUUUGUGGUUCCAUGGUUGGACAUGUAACCACUCUAGAAAACCACCGCGAACACUCCCCUAGACCGCCGUUUGGACGAUCAUGCUCUCACAGCUCACACUUACCAGAUCGUAGGUGCGACGUUGCAUAAUUUAAAUCUAGCGACAUAUGUGGCUAAUUCACAUAUGAAGGCUACCUCUACCAUUAGACCACAUGGUAGCAUAGUGCGGUCAUCACACAUCCAUACGUGAGUACUGCCGGAGAUGCAUAAAUAAAACCCCCCAAGUCAGUACUUAAAUAGCCACCUAUAAUCCUUAUAUGGGCAAGGAGGAUUCGACCACUGACAUAUUUAAGUGUUGAUUUUCACAAUUUUUAUUUAAAAAUUCUUUUUGUUUUUAAAUACACAAACGCUGCAUUUAUAAUGCUGAACUUGCUCCGAUGCCAGCUGUCACAGAACCGACCAAAUUAUAAGAGUUCAAGUGUAGAAACGAUCGACAAGCAAUCAAGUUUCCAAACUUGAGCCCAUAUAAUCCCGGUAGUCAACUGAAAUCACGAAGGACUUCAAACCAACUUGCCACAAACUAAGAUCGUAAUAGUUCAACAUAACACAGCGAUUGUUACAUAAUCAUUCAUUGCCGUCGAAGCGGCACCACAUCGGAGUUACUUAGUUAUCAACACAUGUUUGAAGUAGCGGAAGCAAAAUAGUUACACACACUUUCCCAAAGUUCAUUUCAUAAGUUCUUGUUCAGCCAGGGUCUCAUGUCAUCCAUCCAAAAGCAACUGAUACGAAGUAGUUAGAGAACCGUGCCCAACGGUUUAGUCCUCAUCCCCAGCGGGAUGGAGACAGGUCUUGCAGAAGCCAUCAUAAAAGAUAUCAUCUGCAACAGGUGGGAUUAAACCCUGAGUACGAGGAUGUACUCAGCUAGACUUACCCGUCUAGUAAAACAUAAAAGACUCCAAGGAUCAUGCAAGGCUAAGUAUAAAGUGGAGCUGGUUGACUCAACAGUUUCCAAAAGCUUAAUUGAAAGCUACAAUGUUGUGAGGGCAUCAUAUUAAUCAUCAUUAGCCUACCACUAGAUUAGCACCUGUACUAAAGCACAUCACUUUAUUAUUACAAGCAAUAAUAACCUUAUCAAGCUCAUCAUAUACUCUUUCUUGCUAUCCUCAUUAUCACGAACCAAAGUUCAUUAGUGAAUGUUACGUUUGCCGCUGCUCUGUCAAGUUCUCACUAUCCGGGAGAGACAGAGAUUCGAAUCAAUUCCUAUCCAGCUGGAGGGUUAUUUCUAGCACUCACCCAAGCAUCCCCCAUCGGAGAGCGAGCGGGUCACCUUUGGUACGACUCAGGAAUCGCGGCUCCGAUCAGCGCCGCACUCCCAGGGCUACCACUCUGCCAGGGAGGUUAGGAAUUUUAACUCACCUGCCUUUGGUCUUACGCCAAUGGUCCCCCGCACACCGCACUUCCUCCGGUAGUGCGCACUUUAUACUUGCCGGUCUUCCGGCCUGGGUCAUACUACUAGGCUUCGCGGUCGGAACGAGUUAUCCGGCCAACUAAGUGUUAGGCAUGCGUUCAAUAUGACAAGAGGACGUACAACGAUCGGUCCUUAGCUGCCACAGACGGAGUUACUACAACCUUGCAAAACUCCGCCCGGCUUAAGUCAAGUUAAUCAGGUUCUUUUCACGAUAGCACAUAUAGACAAUUGUGAUCCGACUCAACCCUAUCUCACGCAGGUGACAGGAUAUCACCCGACUUCUACCGGUUAAAGCAUGUCUAAGCCACUACUCGAUCCUAACUCUAUAACCAGGUAGUGGUAAUAUAUCUGGACAAGGAUUGAGUAAAAUGCAGCAAGGGUUUCAUCACAACUCCUAUACGUAAUGCAUCAAUAGAUAUAACAUAAUCAAGUAAGCUUUCGAAAUUAAAGUGGGAGACUUAAGAUGCUCCGGGGCUUGCCUUUCACGAACGAGGCUGGCUCGUGAUUCGGCACUCAACUUCCUCUUCGGGAUCCUCGAGUCCGGCUUGCUGGACCUCCGUCUCAGAGUUGCCCUCCUGGCCUUCGGGGUUCACUUGAAGCUCGAAAGAGGCUGUCGCGUCCGAUGCACCUAUUGCAUGCUCGAUGAAUAAGAAGGUGUGCUUACUAAAGGAUGAAUGCUUGAUAACGUAAUUAGACUCACUGGGCACUUAUUUACAGAAUAACUGUUAUAACAAGUUCACACAAGAUGAUGAGUUAACUUAGCCAAAACCUAUCAAGUUAACCUAUAAACAGCAAGCAUCACAUAACAGAACAUCUCAGUAAACAGGUCAUAACUAUUGCUAUAAAGACCUAAUAAACAUAAAUGAGAACAUUCUGGAAAGCAUAUGAAAUUGUCUACAAUUCAUCUUUAAACAUCACAGCAAGACUCAUAAGUUAAACAAGUCAUUUAAACAAAGUUCCAGGUUCUGUCCUAGAAAAACAGAGAACACUUAUUUCUGGAACCCAACUUGGAAGAGCUAUAACUUUUAAACUAUUGGGCCAAAUGAUCCCAAAUUUAAACCACAGCUAGUUCAUAAAGUUUACAACAACUUUGAGUUAGACAAGUAUUCCAGAAAACCAAGUUAUCAUUAAGCAAAAGUUAGACUACUUCCUUGCUGUCCAGAACAGCUUUUAACCCUUAAUUAAUUAUUUGAUGACAUAGCCAAAGCAUAAACAGUGCCAACCAAAUAGCUUAAGCACAAGUAUAUCAUAAGAUAACCAGAACAUCAUAUGUUAACCCCUAGACAUUUAAUAACAAAGCAUUUAUCAAUUUAAUUCUAUAAAAGGACAUAAUUACAAGGUACUAGCAAAAGUGCUCAGAAAAAUCUAUAAAAUUUGCAGAAGUACAGGCAUAGCAGUUGGACAUCACCAUAAAAUUUUCAGAGCAAAUGCACAUGCCAAAUUCAAGAUAAGCAUUUAACAUGUGGCAAGGUGCUUAUUUCACAAAUUAAGAAAUAUGGCUUAUAUAGUGUCAAACAACAGAUUUCAGAUUAUUUACAUGUUACCAAUACCAUAAACAAGUUUGACACCAAAGUAGAGCACCAUCAUAAGCACCAAUUAUUUACUAUGAUUUAAAUAAGAAAACAAGCCAUAUUACCACCAUAAAUUACAUAUCACAGAUAUAGUACUCCAAAACUCAUGAAAUAUGUAUCAUAGCAUUCUCGUAACACCUAGAGCCUAGCAUAAAAAUUUCAUAGCAAGAUGAGUAGUAUAUCAAGAGAUAUGGAUUUACUCAAGAAUAACAAGAUUAAAUCUUAAUAAUUAUUUUUCCGUGAAAACAUAGUCCAUUUUAUAUUUUUAUUAAAAACUAGCCAUCUCAAGGAACAUCACAAAAUUGGUUUCUCAAUUUUUGGAUCUCAGAAACAGAAGAUAUGAUUUUUCCAAGAAAGCCAAAAAUCUGGAUUUGAAUAAAAGAAAAGGAGGGAAACGUCAUGUCACUGACAGCGGACCCCACACGUCAGGUUCUUCUUCCUCAUGACCGAGACGACGUUCACCGGUGAUUUCUCCGCGACGGGGAGGUCUCCGGCCAAACCAAGGGCACCAACGUGAUCCCCAGACCUUUGCGAACCGAUUGACCCCCUUUUCCCCACGGCGGAGCCACCGGAAGGGGCUUGCCGUCGAUCAUGGCGGCUCGGCAGAGGUGCUCGGCGUUACGCCGGAGCUCUCAGGCCGGUAGAGCGCGACCUAGGGUUUCCUACACCACCAGCGGACUACAGCGAAGCUUCCUAGGUAGGCGACUUGGCUUGAAACGGGGUGGAAUGAGCUGGCCACGAGAGGACCGAACUCCGGCGGAAACACGGCGGCGCUGCGCGUCGUGUCCGGCGACGGUGACCACGGUAGAGCGUCCGCCAAGUGGCGCAAACGCUUGCUAAGGACCUAAGCUACCUCUAGGACCUAACCAGAGAAGACGAGAGGCUCCGAGGAGCUCGACAUUGAGUUCGCCGGAGAAGAAAGUCACGGCGACCCGAUUUGGGGGAAAAAAAGGAAAUGUCGGCUCACCGGAGGAUUUCAUGGCGAGUUAGUGGGUGGACGAUGGAGAGCGGGCCACGGCGGAGCCGUGGAUGAGUUUUGGUGGACAGCAACGCAGCGAGGAGUGCGUACGAGCUUGCCGGAGUGAGCUCGCGAUGGUGAGCUCACUGUGGCCGCGUUUCUGGCGAGAGAGGGCGAGGCAGAAGGAAAUGGACGCGUCCACUUCGCUCGGGGUGUCGCCGUGGAGGUCAUGCGGUGUCCGGAGCUGACGAGCGGGGCCAGAAACAACAUACGGAUGCCAAAUAUCGUCGUUGCUCUGCCGCCGGUCGGCCACGUUGACGAGCUCGGUUCUGAUUGAGACAAAACGAUGACCGACUGAUAGAGCUACUUUGACAACGAUUAUCUCCCAAACCAAAACGAAUUAGAAGAUGGUGUAGUUGUCAAAGUUGGAGUACUAGCUGAGUUCUACAACAUUGUCAACUGGAGCAAGAGCUAGAUCGGCAUGGUUUGAAAGAUAUGAAGUUUUCAAAAUCGAUAAAGCAAACUGCAGCGUCCCUAGACUUAGAAAAUUUUUCUAAGUGUUGGAAACAACCCCAAAUCUGCCUUGUGGGUCACUUUAGAGCAAGAUGUGUUCAUUUUCAUGAGAUGGCCAUUAAACAACUUUUGUUCCUUAUAAAAUUUGCUACAACUUUACUGUAGAAAGUUUUGACAUGCAAACUAUUUAUGAAACACUUUUUAAAAGCCUAAGCAAAAAGGGUUUCUAGUGCCUAUACAUGUAAGUAUGACUUAAGUGAUUAUUUUGGAGAAGUGAUCAACAUGAACAUUGUUCCUAAGGUUGAGUUAAGCAUAGAUAAACUAUUUAGCAAGGCAUAGCACACAAGCAUGAGCAUGGUUCACACAAACCUAAGCAUAGGAAGCAUGAUUAAACAAAUUAAAGGACACUUAAGCAUAAAAUGACAUGGCUCAAGGUAGAUGAUGAUCAUGAUGUGCUUGAGUAGAUGAUGAUGCUCGUGUUAUGCAUGUGAUUUAUGCAACCAUAACACUGGGGUGUUACAGGCUCAGUGUGCAUGACAGACUUGGUGACCAGGUUGGGUACUUUCCCAGGAACCAAGAGGAGCUUGAAGAGAUGGCAAUUGCUCGAGUUCCCAAUGAGUUCAUAUUUUGCAGGGAUGCUAAUAGCUAUCGAGUGGAGUCAAGGGAAUGUCGUCGCCCAUCGGCAAGGCAGCCGCAACUUCCUUCGUGGUGUCUAGAGGGAUUGACUAGGACACAGAAAAGAAGGCUGCAGCGCGAAAGGCGAGAAGACUUGAGCAAGGGAGAGAAUUCUGGCAAAUCUGGAGAUCAGCAGCUGGACCCUAAAGGGAAAGGACCAUUGGCAGAUGUUAACAUAGUAUUUAUGUUGCCGAUGGAGUUCCUUGCGCCGUCCAGUGAUGAUGAGGAGUUGGAUUUUUCCGACCAGAUAGUUCAGUUGGCUCUAGAUCCGAUGAUAGCUAUCUUUGAAAAGCUUGCCGACAAUGAAAGGCAACAUCUUAAUGCCUUGUUCGUCAAAGGAAGAGUUGAUGGGCAGCCGAUGACCAAGAUAUUACUUGAUGGUGGGGCUGCUAUUAAUAUCAUGCCAUAUGCAGUCUAUCGGAAACUUGGGAAAGGAGAUCAAGAUUUGACCAAGACCGAUAUGAUGCUAAAGGACUUUGAAGGAAAUGUGUCUCCGGUUAAGGGGGCAAUAUGUGUCGAGUUGACCAUCGGCAGCAAAACCUUGCCGACGACAUUCUUUGUGAUCAGUGGAAAGGGUGCUUAUAAUAUGCUACUAGGGAGAGAUUGGAUCCAUGCCAACUGUUGCAUCCCAUCAACAACGCAUCAAUGCUUGGUUCAGUGGGUAGGUGACAAGAUUGAGAUUGCCCCGGGAGAUUCUUCUUACGUCAUCGCAUCAGCAGAAGCAGAUACCUAUGAAAGGACCAGGUGCAUCUCAGGAGAGAUUUGGGAGAAGGAUUUCCUCAAAGUUGUCGAUUAUGAAAUUCUACCGAUCCAAGCAGUCGGUUCUGAUGAGGAGUUUUAAUGGAUAGAUUCGCCGAUGAUGGAAAAUUAGGCUAGGGGUUUACAUCAGCUGAUGAUUUAGUAGAAGUAGACAUAGGUAAUGGUGAUAAGCCUAGACCUACUUUUAUUAGUGCUAAGUUAAAUUCUGAGUGUAAGCAACAGUUAACCGAUUUGUUAAAGGAAUAUAAAGAUUGCUUUGCUUGGGAUUAUACUGAGAUGCCUGGUUUAGACCGAUCAAUUGUUGAACAUCGGUUGCCUAUCAAGUCUGGAUUUCUGCCACAUCAGCCGCCAGCUCGCCAAUGUAAUCCUAAUAUUCUUCCUGAUAUUAAGGCCGAAAUAACGAAACCUAUCGAAGCUAAAUUUAUUCGGCAGUUUCGGUAUGCCGAAUGGAUUUCCAAUGUUGUUCCAGUUUACAAGAAAAAUGGGAAGCUUCGAGUUUGCAUUGAUUUUAGAAAUCUUAACAAGGCUACACCGAUGGAUGGCUACCCAAUGCUAGUUGCCGAUUUGCUGGUUGAUGCUGCUGUUGGACAUCGAAUUAUUAGCUUCAUGGAUGGCAAUGCAGGAUAUAAUCAGAUAUUCAUGGCUAAGGAAGAUAUUCCGAAGACUGCAUUUAGAUGUCCUGGUCAUGUUGGGCUGUUUGAAUGGAUAGUCAUGACCUUUGGCUUGAAAAAUGCUGGUGCUACCUAUCAAAGAGCUAUGAAUUUUAUCUUUCAUGAGUUCAUAAGCAAGCUGGUAGAAAUUUACAUUGAUGAUGUGGUGGUUAAGUCGGGAAAUUUCACAAAGCAUCUUGCCGAUGUGCGAAAAGUGUUGGAAUGCACAAGGAAACAUGGUUUAAAGAUGAAUCCUAACAAAUGUGCAUUUGGUGUGUCGGCAGGGUAGUUUCUUGGUUUCAUGGUACAUCAGAGGGGGAUUGAAAUUAGCAGAAGAUCUAUUGAUGCUAUCAAUAAGAUAGUUGCCCCUACCAACAAAACUGAACUCCAGUCCUUGAUCGGCAAGGUAAAUUUUAUCAGGCGAUUUAUAUCUAAUUUGUCUGGUAAAAUUCGUGCUUUCAGUCCUUUUCUUAAAUUGAAAGCUGGUCAAGAGUUUAUAUGCGGAGAAGAGCAACAGUUGGCCUUGGAUGAAGUCAAGGAUUAUUUGACAAAUCCUCUAGUCUUGAUUUCACCCCGGCAAGGAAAGCCCUUCAGAUUAUAUUUGUCUACCGAUGGAAUGGUCAUCGGUUUGGCUUUGAUUCAAGAAUUUGAAGGGAAGGAGCGUGUAAUUUAUUAUUUAAGUAGAAGAUUGAUUGAUGCUGAGACCAGGUAUUCGGCCAUUGAAAAAUUAUGUUUAUGCCUAUAUUUUUCUUGCAUUAAGUUGAGGCACUAUUUGCUAUCGGCCGAAUGCACUGUUCUAUGCAAAGACGAUGUGGUCCGAUAUAUGCUGUCUAUACCGACUAUGAGUGGUAGAAUCGGUAAGUGGAUUUUGGCACUGUCGGAAUUCGAUCUACGUUACGAACCGGCUAAAGCGGUUAAAGGGCAGAUUAUGGCCGAUUUUGUGACUCAACAUCGCAGUGUAGUGGAGACCUUGGAGAUUGUGCCUUGGACGCUCUUCUUUGAUGGAUCCACGUGUGACCGGGGCGCAGGAAUCGACAUAGUGUUAAUUUCCCCUCAGGGAAGGAAGUAUGAGUUCACUUUGCCGAUUGUUGCCACGUCAACGAAUAAUCAAGCCGAGUAUCAAGCUUUGAUCAAGGGGAUGGAAUUGUUAAAAGAAGUUCAUGCUGAUGCUGUGGAAAUCUUCGGGGAUUCUAUGCUGGUUAUAAAUCAAUUGGCUAGAAGUUAUGAAUGCAGAUGUGAAGUCCUGAUAAUUUAUUACGAGAAAAGUAUGCGACUAUUAAAAGAGUUCAAGGAUUUCUGAUUAGAGCAUGUUUCUCGGUUACAUAAUGAGGAAGCUAAUCGGUUGGCUUAGCAUGCCUCGGGAUAUCAACCCAUAUUAAACACGUUAUCGGCAAUCAGUGCCGAUGAUUGGAGAAAAGAGAUCAUUGAUUAUUUGAGGGAUCCAUCCGAAAGGUUUGAAAGACGUAUUAGGUUUCAAGCUACCAAGUAUGUGCUCCUUGAGGAUGAAUUAUAUUAUCGAACUAUAGAUGGAGUUCUUCUCAAAUGUUUGGGUAAUGAUGAAGCUAAAAAUUUGAUGGGUGAAAUCCAUGAAGGAGUAUGUGGAGCACAUCAGUCGGCUUUUAAGAUGAAAUGGAUGAUCAGGAGAAAUGGGUAUUAUUGGCCGACCAUACUUGAGGUUUGUUUUAAAUAUUUCAAAGGAUGUCAAGGAUGUCAGAAAUUUGGCAAUAUUCAAAGGGCACCUGCAUCGGCCAUGAAUCCCAUUAUUAAACCUUGGCCGUUCUGGGGAUAGGCAAUUGAUCUGAUUAGCCAGAUUUACCCACCAUCGAGCAAAGGGCAUAAGUUCAUUUUAGUUGCCACUGAUUAUUUUACUAAGUGGGUUGAAGCUAUUCCUUGGAAGAAAGUUACAUCGGCCAAUAUGAUUGAUUUUGUGAGAGAGCAUAUUAUUUAUCGAUUUGGUAUUCCUCAAACAAUUACUACCGAUUAGGGUACUAUGUUUACAUUGGGAGAGUUUGAUGAAUUUGCAAUCGGUAUGGGGAUUAAAGUGUUGAAUUCUUCUCCUUGUUAUGCUCAAGCUAAUAGGUAGGCCGAAGCAUCUAACAAAGAAAUUAUUAAACUCAUCAAACGGAAGAUUGAAGAAUAUCCUAGGAGGUGGCAUACAUUAUUAAGUGAAGCUUUAUGGUCGUAUCGGAUGGCAUGUCAUGGCUCGCCUAAAGUUUCACCUUAUCAACUAGUGUAUGGACACGAUGCAGUGCUGCCGUGGGAAAUUAAGACCGGAUCUAGGCGACUAUCUUUUCAAGAUCAGCUGGCUGCCGAUGAUUAUGUUACUUUGAUGAAAGACGAGUUGGAUGAUUUAUCAGGGCAUCGGUUGAACGCUUUGAUGAGUAUAGAAGAAAAUAAAAAGAGAGUCGCCAGAUGGUACGAUAAAAGGGUAAAGGCUAAGGAGUUUGCUGAUGGAGAUAUGGUAUGGAAAUUGAUAUUACCGAUUGGGACUAAAAGUUCAAAGUUUGGCAAGUGGUCUCCCAAUUGGGAAGGUCCUUAUCGGAUAAGUCGGUCUGCUCCUGGUAAUGCUUAUAUUUUGGAAACUCUCGAAGGAGUUGAAUUUUCUAGAGCAUUGAAUGGAAAGUAUUUGAAGAAAUAUUACCCAAGCAUAUGGGUCGAUGCAUAAAAGUUUAAGUGCUGAUAACAUUCCUAUCGGCUGGAUUAAAGUGUGUACGAUGUUUCAAGAAAUGCCGACAACAGUCCUAUCGGCUAGACCAAAAUAAUCAGCAGUUUUGAAGAAAAAGCAGAACAUGACGUCGAUGAAGAGUUCAUACAUUCAGUAGGGCUUGGAUGGCCGAUAUAGCGCGUAGAUGAAUUUGAUCGGCUUCUUCUAUCUCCUUGAUAUCUUCAUCGGUAGAGCCUUCCACCGGUUUCAGCUUCUUCUUCAUCUGCAGUGCCUUGCAAGCUUGGACGUUUCGCUCUUGUUCGAGGGUCUUGAUCGUCUCGGGCAGCUGACUUUCUUCCUGUUGAGCUUGGGACAGAGCUUCUUCUACUUGUUUGAGCUCUGCCAACAGGGCUUCCCUUUUUGCCGAUAGGUCGGAGAUCUUUUGUUUCAGCACAUCUCCUGAGGAUUUCAGAAUGCCAAUGCUCUUGUGUUUUUCAUCGGCAAGAUGCUUUACCUUCAUUACCUCCUCUGAAAGCUGGGCAUGAGCGGCUCUAUCGGCAAGGCGCUGAGUGGCCUUUUGGUAUUGGAGCUGUCGACUCUCCAAAUGUGCAGCCUUGAAGAGGGUUUCCUCGACAUCGGCAGGGAUUUAGCCUCUGAGAGCUUUAAAUAGAGCCUUGGCUGGGUCGGAAUCAUCAACCAGUUGGGCUGUAUCCUGAUAGAGCAGGACCAACAAAUCCUCCAGCUUUGCUCUGAUUUCUGCUGAUGACAUCCCGAUUGCUUGAGAAGAACUUGCUUCCUUGCCUUCAUCUUCGGAAAUUUCGAUGGCGAAGGAGAACAGGCUGUCUAGAGAAUCUUGUUCCUGAAAAGGAGAUAGGUUAUUUGAUGAUGAAAUAUUAGUAAAAUAAAGGAUGAUAAUCAAAUAGCUUACUUGUUUCAGAGCUAUCUCUUGCCUCUGGCUGGUUGAGGCUGAUGGUACUACAGGUUGAUCGGCCGGAGUUGCCGAUGGGACGAUGUCAGCUGAAAAAUAAACAGGGACAAUUAUAAAGUGGAAAAAUAGGUCCAUCGGCAAUAAUUUCAUAAAUAGCGCUUUACCUUGAGGGGGUGUGAUGCUUGUCUGAAUUGAGGAGACCACCGAUGCUAUGAUUGAACCUACUGGAUCAGCGGUCUGCUCAUGUACAUCGCCUGAUGUCUCUUCUGGCUGAGGUUCUUCUUCUGGCUGAGGUUCUUCUUGUGGCUGAGGUGGAGACAGUACUUAUUUUGUCUGAGCUUCUGGCAAAGAAGGAGAUGAUUCCACGUGAAUCGGUGACCCUAGAGGAGGGGGAGGAGGUGUUGCUGUUUUCUGACGCUUUGCUUGUGACUUGGUACUCUUGGGGCCCUUUCUCUUAGUUUGGCUGACCUGGGGGGCAUCGGCACUUAUCUUGGAACUUCUGGCCUUUACUGAUUUGCCGGAUUGCUAAUACAACAACAAAAGUUUCGUAAGUACAAGCGUGAUAAGGAGUUGAUGAAAUUCUGGUUGGAAUAGUAAAAUUUACCGAUGAUGUUCCCAUAGCAGUCGAUGUAAAUUGAAUAAGUCAGGAAUCUAGCUUGAAGUAUGGAAUGGAAUCGGUAUAAGUUGAAUAAGUUAAGAAUCUAGCUUGAAAGCUUGAGCUAGAGCAGUAGCAGCUACCGAUGGGGACGUCUUCGCACAUCUGGUGGUAAUUUUCUUGAAACGCACACCCCGGUGCAUCAAAGCUGCCAAGCACAUUGUUACCAAUCAGAGAGAUCGGACCCGAUGGAAGGAGCUCGAUCGGCCUUCCGCUCCUGCUGACUGUUGAUGGUGUAUCAUCGACCUGAUUAAAAAGAGAAGAAGUGAGUUACCGAUGAAAAUAAGAGUAAUAUAAGAAGAUUGAAGCAUCGGUUGAAAACUUAUAGUGUUCUCGGGAAUUUUGUACUUGGGGUCGAUCAUGCCGCGGUAUGUGAGGGCCGAUCCGCAGAACAGGUGUUCUUUCCAUUCCUCCCACCACUACUUGUAUGCCUGGGUGAUGAAGAGAGCCGGAAUCCAAGCCGAUAGAUCGACAUCUGUAUCAGCAUUUGGUGGAAGUUGAGCUAUUCUGAUCCACUCGAGACCGCUGGUUAUGGUUUCCCUUGGUUUCACCACAUCGGCGUAGCAGAGCGCAAUCAGCAGCUGUCCAAAGGCUAGUUGGUGAGCUAGUGCUGAUGGGUUAUAGAACUCAUAAGUCAGAUUGGAGGCUUUCCCACUACCAAAGAAAUUCACUGGUGUAGCUCUUGGAGUGAUAAUUGCCAUCAUUAGAUCAUGGUCCUUGUUGAGAGCAUUGUCAAAGGGAUGAAAAGUCAAAGGAAAUCUGGUGUCUGGAUCCUCAUAAGGCAUCCAUGAUCGCUGCUCUCUGGCCAGACCCUCAUAAAGAGUCUGAAAGAAUCGGCUAACCUGAUCUUCAUUGCCUCCAGUGCCAGGUAAGACUAUGGCAGCUUCACCAUAGUUCAGAGGGGAAUGAGUUGCCGAUUCUUCUUCAUCCAACUCAUGGUCUUCAGCUAUAUCUCUGGGGAAGCGCUGUGCAAAGAGGUCAAAUCCAAGGCGCUUAUGCAUGUGGAUACUAAGCCACAUAUUGAUGAACCACCAGGGUCCCCCUAAGUUGCCGAUGGGUUGGCCUAGCAGGACUUUCUUAGCUACCUGGUGGAGGAGGUGGUAAACAGAGCCGAGCAAAUAUUGGCCAAGAGGAAAUCGGCCACCAUUGGCUAGUCUUUCUGCUGCCGAUAGAUAGACAGAGGUUGGUCCUGCCGAUCGGCCACAGAACACAAACUUAUCCAACCACAUGUUUAGGAAAAUUGCCUGCUCCCUUUCCCCGACAGGUCCUGUCUUUCGGUACUUCUGAAUGUAUCUAGACCAACCGCCGAUAGCGCGAGUUUCUACUUUAGAACUGGGCUUGGUGUCAAACAGGUGACUGUUAUCGACAGUGGAUAUGUCUAAGCCGGUGAGCAUAAGUACAUCGGCAAGAGUGGGUGAAGCAGGGCCAUGGCCGAAUACAAAAGCAUUGAGCGUGUCUGACCAAAAAUACGAGGCAACUAUCAGCACUGACUCGUUUCUCUUCAUCUUGGCAAGAGAUAAUCUGAUGCACUGGUCUAAUUUCCACUCACCCCACUGGACUUCAUUUGAAUGGCUGACUCUCAGGAACCAGUCUUUCCAUCCCUUGGUGGGACUAGGCCAGGAACGAAAGGCAUCUUUCCACAGAUCUAAGGAAAAUUUUUUGGCUCUGAAGGGGAUUCUAUUUGUCUCUGCGUUUAAUAGAUCGGUGGGAUCUGGAUUUCCUAACGGGCCGAGACAUUGGAAGUGAGGUUGAUCGGUGGGAAUUACAAUCUUAUGAGCUAAGUCCUAAAGGGUUUUGAGGAUGAAAGAACAAAAAGAAAAAAAGGGGUACUCAGUAAAAGGAAUCGCAGAUGAAUAGGAGUACAGCAAAAGUGUGAAAAGAAAAAAGAUGGGAGACUGACCUCAGGAACGACGAAGUUGAUGACCAUUUCUUCACGAGGAAGAGGAUCGAAGACUUGGAGGAUUGGUGAAGGAGGCUCUUGCUGAAGUUCUUGGAACUCUUGGGCUAUUGCUCCACGGACCUAAAGGAUCAAGGAUAACCGUUCAAUCAAUGUCGGUUUGAUCCAAUGGCCCAUAUUCACUUGAAUGGACUAUUAAACCAGACCCCCUGGCCCCUGGAGAUCAUACCUCUUCUACGGAAUCAAAGUUAGGGUUUCAAUUCUUCAUCCAAGUAGAGAGGAUCCCUCUAGUUCUUCUAGUUCUACCUCUAGUUCAUCUAGAUCUUGUUCUAGUUCAUCUAGUUCUAGUUCUAGUUCCUCUAGUUCUAGUUCUAGUUAGUUCUAGUUGUAAUCUAGAAAAUAGGGAGAGAGAAGAGGAGAGCGGAGGAGGAGCCGGAUCUGUCGGAUCUUCCUCAACAUUAUACUUUUGCAGCAUCUGGUUCGUUCUUCAUCGUUCUCCAGGUUAUUCAAUUCAUAAUUCCUGAGUUCUUUAAUUACUUUUAUUUACAUUCAACUUAUUUAUUGGAUUCCCGCUUGCAUCAAGUGCUCUAGUCUUUAUAACGCUAGAGUAGUAAUUAAUAGAUUAGACGUGGUGUUUAGUCUUGCAAUUACCUGGAAUUGCACCCAAUGCUGCGGAUUGUUGUGGUAGCCUUAGGGUAGUGACAGCCCUAACGGUCGACGUAUUCCACCACGUUCAGAUCGGUGUUUGUAGGACCGUAGUCAAACCUUCCUAGCCCCCUUCUCAUCUCUUUCUGUGGUUAGUGCUCUGAUGUCCUGAUAUAGAUAAUCUUGAAGUAAUUCUUGAUUCUUAGAUCAACUAGAGAACUCUUAGGAAACUUCCUCUCUUCCCACCAAAAAUAAUUAUAUAGUUAUCCUUGGGCGAUCAUGAUUCUUAAUUAGUACACUCACAUUCUCUGUGGAAAAUUGAUACUCUGGAAUACUCCCGGGUGAAGGCUACAUCGCUAUCCGUGCGCUUGCGGAUUUUUCUGUUUGCGUUUAAAAUACCCAACAAGCUUUCUGGCGCCGUUGCGGGGAACGGUAGCUGUGCUAGUUUCGAACCAAGUCAUCCGUGUAUCCUUUUUCUUUUCCUUUUUUUACCACACUCACCUUACCAUUUUCACCACACCACAUGGAUUUCACUCUAAGCAUUAAUGAGCAUGGAAUUUAUUUCAUAGCCACUUCAUUUACUCCAUGCUCAUAUGCAACAUCUUCACAAUCCAUUGGUCUCUCCAACAUCACCACAUUCGAGAUCUCCAACCCCCUCUUCCUUUCUAUUUAUAAAAACUUUAAAAGGGCGGUUGUCGAUGCAUAUGUCUAUAAUAAAUUUUGCAGAUCUCGUUGAGUUGAUCUUGAUAUAGGUCAGCGUUGGAGGGGAAACCACUUCGCCAACAUAAAUUGAUGGUUUCCCAAGGACAAGCUUAGUGUCCUAAAACAAGCACUGAUCAGAUUGUAACAUGAGCUUUUAAUUAUUUGCAACAUUACCUUGUGUGUGGGGCAUAUAAGGAUAAUUGUAAAAAUAUCACAUCGGGUAUUCUUGUCACUAACCUUUCCAGGAUUGGAGCAAGAAGAUCGGAUGAAUGACAAGCACAAGGUAUGUCCAACCAAUCACCAUACAACAUUGAAUUAAAUUCAUCCAAACUUGAAUUUUGCAAAAUUCAAGCUUGGGGGAGUAUUUUACAUAAAAACAUCAUUUGGCAUGUUGCUAUGUUGGUUGUCCCUACCAUUAAGACAUGCUCAAUCUGUUAAAAACUAAUCACACUACUUCAUCUCCACUUGAGUAGAACUCUAUAAAUGCUUUCAUGCUACCUUUAUUUGCUUUAGUAUAUGUCUAGGUUUGGAGUAGUUUCAUUUAUCUCUUAAUUAAGCAUGGUGCUUAGUUUAGGGCUGAUGAUUUUACUUCCAAGGGAGUGUUGACGGUCCUUAAUGCUCACAUUUAACCAUCAACUAAUCAUGGAAAAGGAUCUAAAUGGAACCAACACCUAGACUUAGGGUUUUAUCUGACAGAAUUCCACGAGUUUUGGUGUUUGUCUAUUUCUGCGGGGGGUUAUCAGGAAAUACGGAGGAAAGGCCCACACGUCGGGUUUACAUAGAGAUAUUAACGUGCUGCGCAAUUAUCUUACAUCUAGAAGACUCCAGAAGCCACGAGACCGAAGCGGAGGCGAAACGAGGCCAGAGACUGGGCGCCCGCCCUGUCCUACUGGGCGCCCGCCCACCUCCUGAGUCCAAUCAGGACUCUGCUUUGCGGGAGAUCUCCACCGACCUAAAGGAUCAAGGAUAACCGUUCAAUCUAAGUCGGUUUGAUCCAACGGCCCAUAUUCACUUGAAGGGACUAUAAAACCAGACCCCCCUGGCCCCUGGAGAUCAUACCUCUUCUACAGAAUCAAAGCUAGGGUUUCAAUUCUUCAUCCAAGUAGAGAGGAUCCCUCUAGUUCAUCUAGUUCUAGUUCUAGUUCCUCUAGUUCUAGUUCUAGUUAGUUCUAGUUGUAAUCUAGAAAAUAGGGAGAGAGAAGAGGAGAGCGGAGGAGCCGGAUCUGUCGGAUCUUCCUCAACAUUAUACUUUUGCAGCAUCUGGUUCGUUCUUCAUCGUUCUCCAGGUUCUUCAAUUCAUAAUUCCUGAGUUCUUUAAUUACUUUUAUUUACAUUCAACUUAUUUAUUGGAUUCCCGCUUGCAUCAAGUGCUCUAGUCUUUAUAACGCUAGAGUAGUAAUUAAUAGAUUAGGCGUGGUGUUUAGUCUUGCAAUUACCUGGAAUUGCACCCAAUGCUGCGGAUUGUUGUGGUAGCCUUAGGGUAGUGACAGCCCUAACGGUCGACGUAUUCCACCAUGUUCAGAUCGGUGUUUGUAGGACCGUAGUCAAACCUUCCUAGCCCCCUUCUCAUCUCUUUCUGUGGUUAGUGCUCUGAUGUCCUGAUAUAGAUAAUCUUGAAGUAAUUCUUGAUUCUUAGAUCAACUAGAGAACUCUUAGGAAACUUCCUCUCUUCCCACCAAAAAUAAUUAUAUAGUUAUCCUUGGGCGAUCUUGGAUCUUAAUUAGUACACUCACAUUCUCUGUGGAAAAUCGAUACUCUGGAAUACUCCCGGGUGAAAGCUACAUCGCUAUCCGUGCGCUUGCGGAUUUUUCUGUUUGCGUUUAAAAUACCCAACAAGCUUUCUGGCGCCGUUGCGGGGAGCGGUAGCUGUGCUAGUUUCGAACCAAGUCGUCCGUGUAUCCUUUUUCUUUUCCUUUUUUUACCACACUCACCUUACCAUUUUCACCACACCACAUGGAUUUCACUCUAAGCAUUAAUGAGCAUGGAAUUUAUUUCAUAGCCACUUCAUUUACUCCAUGCUCAUAUGCAACAUCUUCACAAUCCAUUGGUCUCUCCAACAUCACCACAUUCGAGAUCUCCAACCCCCACUUCCUUUCUAUUCAUAAAAACUUUAAAAGGGCGGUUGUCGAUGCAUAUGUCUAUAAUAAAUUUUGCAGAUCUCGUUGAGUUGAUCUUGAUAUAGGUCAGCGUUGGAGGGGAAACCACUUCACUGACAUAAAUUGAUGGUUUCCCAAGGACAAGCUUAGCGUCCUAAAAUAAGCACUGAUCAGAUCGUAACAUAAGCUUUUAAUUAUUUGCAACACUACCUUGUGUAUUGAGCAUAUAAGGAUAAUUGUAAAAAUAUUCCUUCGGGUAUUCUUGUCACUAACCUUUGCAGGAUUGGAGCAAGAAGAUCGGAUGAAUGACAAGCACAAGGAAAACUUUCAAUAUCGACCUGGGAAGUCCUGAGAUAAACUCACAUUGGAGACAAAGAGAGAGACACAUAAAGUUUACUAAUUUACACAAGGAAGGCAUAGCUCACAAGAGAUGAUUCAUGGAGGGUGCCACAAACACGAUGCACAACCGCUAAGAAAGGAAAGCUUCCACAAGGUGAUACUGUACCAUCACUCUUCAAGUAAGGUAACAUCUUAAGGUACUUGACUAUCACUUCUAUAAGCUUUUCCUUGGUUCUGGCAUUCACAUGAAUAAAAGAGACAAACAUGUAUGAUUUACAACUUUAGAUUAAUCAACCCAAUCGAUUCAACAUGUUUAGUCUUUCUACCUUCGUGAUCCCACACUCCUAAUCAUAUAAGCUAAAACGUUUCACAUUCAAUCUUUGGAAGAUAUAAACAAAACAUAAGUAUACAUAGAUUAUCUUUCCAUUAGGUUGAGCGAUGUGAUCUGACAAAUGUUUUAAAUAUUACACUCAUGAUCUUAUUAUCCAUCAACUUGGUCUUGCUCAUUAUGCUUAAGGAUAGAGAAGAAUAAAUACACUUUUGGUUCUGUUGGUGUUUUCCACCAACAGGGCCCAUGCACUUGAUCUCUGCCUUGUCUCUAUGAGCAGGUACACUUUAAGCAAAACAUGGAAGAGUUUUACAACACCCAGACUCCACCAAGUGAAGAACCUAGAUCUACGAGCACAAACACACUGGAGAGACUGGACACUCAGGCAAUCACUGCCCUAAGAUGCUUGAGGACGUAACUACUGGAGUAACCCAUGGAAGUAAUUACUGACCUUCUGCCGGUCAAGAGAGACAAUCCAGGACGCCCCGUCAUCCCGAUCUCCAUCAGGCAUGGUGGACUUCCUAGAAGCACUCUGUGACUAUGGCUCCAGCAUCAACAUUAUGCCCAGGGUACUCUAUGAAAAAUUCUUUACACAUCCUUUACUAGAAACAACCAUGUGUUUGCAGCUUGCAGAUCAGACACUAAGUUUCCCAAAGGGAAUAUUGAAGAACCUCUGCGUCUGAGUUGGUACCUUGUACGCCCCAGCAGACUUCGUGGUGAUAGAGACUGGUACUGAUGAGAGGGCACCCAUCCUAGGGAGGCCAUUCCUGAACACCUCAGGAGCUGUCAUCUACGCUAGUGCUGCCAAGAUCAAUUUCUACAACAAGGGGAGGAAGGAGACGUUUUCCUUCAAGAACAAGACUACACAAAUCUCAGAGCAAUCCCGACAUGAACCCAGGAAGAGGAUCAACAGGGGGAGCAGGAACAAGCAAAUGUGGACUGAGUCAGCUAAGAUGGUCACUGCAGCUCAACGAGGUCAAGAUCGUCGACUUAAGUCACCGUUCCUGACCAAAAAGGAUGCCGCAAUCACUUAACAGCUCCUGCAUGGAACCAUGUCCCUACAACCAACAUACAUUCAGCUCCAGAUGAUUUUAAGGUUAUUGACAUAGGAGAAGACAAGUACGAUCCAUCCAUCAUCCUUAGGAGACCGUUCCUCAGCACCGCUAAAGCAAUCAUCUACAUUGGAAUCGGAGAAGUCCACAUGCACUUCCCCUCUGAGAAGGUACGCUGCUAUUUUACUGACCCUAAUUAUAUAGUUGAAGACUCUAAGCAGGUCAGGGCAAGAAGAAUACGACGCAACCGCAACUAGAGGAGGCAAAUCAUCAAGGACGGAUGGGCAGACUAUGAAGGAGAAGUCGUAAGGUCUGAAGACAUACAGCUUGAACAGAACUAUCCUGAGGAGACCGUAGCACCGAGUCAGGUGUGCAGAAAGAAGAUAGUUAUACACGAAGAGCAGGCGCCGCCGGAACCACCGACUACGCCAUCCAGCGAAUCCCAAGACGACUGAGAAAACGGAGAAUCCCGUUCGGAGGACUUAAAAACACCGAACGUCUUGCCAAGAGGUAAACUUGGUAGUUAUCCUUUUCUUUUCAAUUAUCUUAAAAUAGUUUGCUUAGUUAAUCAGGUUCAUAUCAUCUCGAAAAGAAAAUAAAAAUGUUAAAAAUAGUAAGCCCCAUGUGAGUAUGCUCAUGGCAUAAAACCCAUAAGUACAUUCACUGUGGUGGCAUAAAAAUAAAAUAAAUAUAUUCCUGUCCUAUAAAAAUAAAAUUAUAAAAAUAGAUUUAUGAUCCCACUAAAAAGUGUAAUAUUUAUUGAGGAGACUCAACAUGAUAAAGGCUAGAUAUUUAUGCUAACACUUAACUAGUUCCACAAGCUUUGUUGUCUAUUUGAGCUCCACAGAAUUCAAGGAUCAAAGAAGACUAGCAGACGGAGGACAUUCUAGUCGCCGUCAGGGUGCUGCUGACAUUCAAAUAUACCUUCGCCACCUGCUAGCUACAUCAGAAGGAAUUACGUCAAAAUCCAGCUUGGGGGAGAGCACCUCCAUUUAUCCAGCUAAGUAUUCUACUCACGUUUAUAUUUUACUCAAAUAAUAAAAAGAUGCAUAAUCGUAAAAACCCAAAUAAAGAUUUUGUGCUUAUAUAUAUAUCUUUGCUUAGUUUGCUAAAUAAAUAAAUAAAUAAAAUUUGCUAUGAACCCUCAUGAUAAGCUCUCACAUGGAAAUGAUGAAUAGUUGCUCUACCAUAAUUAGUUCUCAAAAUUGAAAUCUCUCUCAAGUUUAGGCAUGACUAUUAUUAAUUAAGAUUUGCUCUAAACCUGAACUUGUGGGAAGAGUACUUGAUCUGAAGUCUAAGUCGUUAACGGAUAUGAUAUGGGAAGGUUGAGCUGCUGUUUAUCUGUUCCUAGAGAUGCUAGAAUUCUGGAGAAUUUUAUCUUUGAAAAUCUUUAAAAUGUUGCAUGAUGAGUUCCUGUAUGAUGAGAGUUUAAAUUCCUACCACAGCCAUAUAUACAUGCUUGCUAGACUUUGAGCCACACAUUUACUUUUUACUGCUUAUGAGCAUUGAGUGUGGUCAAGCUGUGUAGACCCUUAGGAACUUGUCAUGUGGUUAAAAUCAAGAUUCACUUGCACGUUCACUCAUAUAUGCUGCUUCCACUCCGGAAGUACCAUCCACAUAUAUCCACCCAUUUCCAUCUCCACAACCACCCAAAAAUAUUCUACUCCUAAUCCGGGAGAGAAUAGCCAAAAACAUUCUCCUAUUUCUGUUAUUUCCCGUGAAAUAAAUGCUCAAGUUAUCUUGGUUACUACCACUUGCUAUAUUAUUUCAAGAGAUGAAUGCUCUAAAAAAAAGAAGAAAAAAAAAUACGAGGAAAUAAAAAGGGGCAAGUGCCUGGAACCUCAAAAGAAAAAAAAGUGAGACGAGAGGUAAAAAUGGACAAGUGUCCGACAGUAGAAUUAGGGGUACAAGAUACCCACCUGAGAGAAAAAAAUAUAUAUAUAGAGUAUCUCAUUCUCCUCAAAAAGUUUCAAAAGAGCAAGGAAGGUAUGUAUCCCCUCAAAAGAGCAUAAGUAGAAUUAGACUUUCACCAUUGUUAUCACCAUCAUCACCAUACACCAUUCAUUCGCCACACAUGCACAUCUUGAUUUGACUUAUUGACUUGUUCUUCUGGAUCUAUGGUUUGACUAUGCAAUAAAUGUCUUCUAAGUAUGUAUUAGCUGUCUCCCACCUAUGAGCUCCAGAUAUCAAAAGCCUUAUUAGAGUAGGGUGAGAGAGAAGGCAAUACCACUAUGCCUUAUACCACAAAUACCACAUACUUUUAGAGAAGGCAUACACCAUUAAUGCCUUGGUAAGGAUCCAGAAAUACCACAAAAGAGAGACUAGAGAGAGUCAUACAAGGAAUCUCUGAGUUUUAUUUGAAAAUCUGCAAAAACUCCAGAGCUAUAGCUGAUCAAGAAUAAGAGACAUGGUGCUUGACUAGACCGUUCUAUCUUUUAACUACUCAAGACAGAAGUGACGGUUACAAGUCCCAUGGUGAAAGGUAAUGAGUAAGUUUUAAGUCUUAACAGUUUACUCUAACCUAGAGAUGAGAUCUUGUUUGAACGCAUGUGUAUCUUUAAGGCAUGAAACCACUGCAGAAACUCUUGAGUUCAUCUUUGCUCAGGGACGAGCAAAGGUUAAGCUUGGUGGAGCUUGUUGACGGUCCUUAAUGCUCACAUUUAACCAUCAACUAAUCAUGGAAAAGGAUCUAAAUGGAACCAACACCUAGACUUAGGGUUUUAUGUGACAGAAUUCCACUAGUUUUGGUGUUUGUCUAUUUCUGCAGGGGGUUAUCAGGAAAUACGGAGGAAAGGCCCACACGUCGGGUUUACAUAGAGAUAUUAACGUGCUGCGCAAUUAUCUUACAUCUAGAAGACUCCAGAAGCCACGAGACCGAAGCGGAGGCGAAACGGGGCCAGAGACAGGGCGCCUGCCCUGUCCUACUGGGCGCCCGCCCACCUCCUGAGUCCAAUCAGGACUCUGCUU